GUCCACGCCGUAAACGAUGGGCACUAGGUGUGGGAGGUGUCGACUCCUUCCGUGCCGAAGCUAACGCAUUAAGUGCCCCGCCUGGGGAGUACGGCCGCAAGGCUAAAACUCAAAGGAAUUGACGGGGGCCCGCACAAGCAGCGGAGCAUGUGGUUUAAUUCGACGCAACGCGAAGAACCUUACCUGGGCUUGACAUGUACCUGACCGCCCUGGAAACAGGGUUUCCCUUCGGGGCAGGUUCACAGGUGGUGCAUGGCUGUCGU
This 263-nucleotide ribosomal RNA is filed under the name uncultured bacterium. RNAcentral describes it as "partial 16S ribosomal RNA". It matches the Rfam family "Bacterial small subunit ribosomal RNA", at positions 793 to 1055 of the family's 1533-position model. The record is from RNAcentral.